GAUGAACGCUGGCGGCGUGCCUAAUACAUGCAAGUCGAGCGAACAGACGAGAGUGCUUGCACUCUCUGACGUUAGCGGCGGACGGGUGAGUAACACGUGGGUAACCUACCUAUAAGACUGGGAUAACUUCGGGAAACCGGAGCUAAUACCGGAUAAUAUUUAGCUUCGCAUGAAGCAAUAGUGAAAGACGGUUCUGCUGUCACUUAUAGAUGGACCCGCGGUGUAUUAGCUAGUUGGUGAGGUAACGGCUCACCAAGGCAACGAUACAUAGCCGACCUGAGAGGGUGAUCGGCCACACUGGGACUGAGACACGGCCCAGACUCCUACGGGAGGCAGCAGUAGGGACUCUUCCGCAAUGGACGAAAGUCUGACGGAGCAAUGCCGCGUGAGUGAAGAAGGUUUUCGGAUCGUAAAACUCUGUUGUAAGGGAAGAACAAGUACGUUAGUAACUGAACGUACCUUGACGGUACCUUACCAGAAAGCCACGGCUAACUACGUG
This 499-nucleotide ribosomal RNA is filed under the name uncultured bacterium. RNAcentral's name for it is "partial 16S ribosomal RNA". It matches the Rfam family "Bacterial small subunit ribosomal RNA", at positions 28 to 507 of the family's 1533-position model. The record is from RNAcentral.